CGCGUUGUCUGCAUUGCGUCUCAUUUCACCCAGGACAAAGUGCAGAGUUGUGUCUCUCGCUUCACAUAUGCGACUCUGGCUGUAAACCUACACUCACUUCCCUGAAAUGGAAACUGGGCGGAGAUCUCGUUCCUGAAGCUCGAAAGUGAAAGUAUAAAACACAUUAUAGAAGGCUUGGUGCUUGUUGUAAGCUUGAUGGUUAACAUUAUCACAGGUUUGUAAACCGUGUAAGGCUUAUCAUUAUCGUAACCUAUGUGGGCUGUACAUGGACCAAUGAGAUUGCGCGCAUGUCGGCCCCUUCCUCAACUGUUCAUCGAGUGUGUGCCACGGACACCACCAUUUUUGAUCAAUGCUCAGGAUCCUCGGGACUGUCAGGAUCCUCGGGACUGUCAGGAUCCUCGGGACUGUCAGGAUCCUCGGGACUGUCAGGAUCCUCGGGACUGUCAGGAGCCUCAGGACUGUCAGGAGCCUCAGGACCCAGAUGAUUCACAAAGAAUCAAACAGAACAG
This is a long non-coding RNA of Oncorhynchus keta (chum salmon), 509 nucleotides long. RefSeq lists it as uncharacterized. The transcript is spliced from 2 exons. Lineage: Eukaryota; Metazoa; Chordata; Actinopteri; Salmoniformes; Salmonidae. The record is from RefSeq and is a predicted model, not a curated record.